AAAGGGUGCGUAGGCGGGUAGGUAAGUCAGUGGUGAAAUCCUGGAGCUCAACUCCAGAACUGCCAUUGAUACUAUUUAUCUUGAAUAUUGUUGAGGUAGGCGGAAUAUGUCAUGUAGCGGUGAAAUGCUUAGAUAUGACAUAGAACACCGAUUGCGAAGGCAGCUUGCUAAACAAUUAUUGACGCUGAGGCACGAAAGCGUGGGGAUCAAACAGGAUUAGAUACCCUAGU
This 230-nucleotide ribosomal RNA is filed under the name uncultured bacterium. RNAcentral's name for it is "partial 16S ribosomal RNA". It matches the Rfam family "Bacterial small subunit ribosomal RNA", at positions 562 to 791 of the family's 1533-position model. The record is from RNAcentral.